GGUGGCUAACAGGUCCAUCAUUACCAUGUUUUUGGUACAUAAAGCUGAAUAAACAGUGUUUUCUUUGCUAUAAAUGAGGUAAACGGUGCAGGAUCUUAUGUUUGGUGGCUAACAGGUCCAUCAUUACCAUGUUUUUGGUACAUAAAGCUGAAUAAACAGUAUUUUCUUUGUUAUAAAUGAGGUAAACGGUGCAGGAUCUUAUGUUUGGUGGCUAACAGGUCCAUCAUUACCAUGUUUUUGGUACAUAAAGCUGAAUAAACAGUGUUUUCUUUGCUAUAAAUGAGGUAAACGGUGCAGGAUCUUAUGUUUGGUGGCUAACAGGUCCAUCAUUACCAUGUUUUUGGUACAUAAAGCUGAAUAAACAGUGUUUUCUUUGUUAUAAAUGAGGUAAACGGUGCAGGAUCUUAUGUUUGGUGGCUAACAGGUCCAUCAUUACCAUGUUUUUGGUACAUAAAGCUGAAUAAACAGUGUUUUCUUUGUUAUAAAUGAGGUAAACGGUGCAGGAUCUUAUGUUUGGUGGCUAACAGGUCCAUCAUUACCAUGUUUUUGGUACAUAAAGCUGAAUAAACAGUGUUUUCUUUGCUAUAAAUGAGGUAAACGGUGCAGGAUCUUAUGUUUGGUGGCUAACAGGUCCAUCAUUACCAUGUUUUUGGUACUUUAAGCUGAAUAAACAGUGUUUUCUUUGCUAUAAAUGAGGUAAACGGUGCAGG
Long non-coding RNA from Acanthochromis polyacanthus (spiny chromis), 710 nucleotides. RefSeq lists it as uncharacterized. The transcript has 4 exons. Lineage: Eukaryota; Metazoa; Chordata; Actinopteri; Pomacentridae. The record is from RefSeq and is a predicted model, not a curated record.